RNAcentral lists this ribosomal RNA (548 nucleotides) under uncultured bacterium. Its description in RNAcentral is "bacterial SSU rRNA". It matches the Rfam family "Bacterial small subunit ribosomal RNA", at positions 355 to 896 of the family's 1533-position model. The record is from RNAcentral.
UGGGGAAUUUUGGACAAUGGGGGCAACCCUGAUCCAGCCAUGCCGCGUGCGGGAAGAAGGCCUUCGGGUUGUAAACCGCUUUUGUCAGGGAAGAAACGCGCUGAGCUAAUACCUCGGCGUAAUGACGGUACCUGAAGAAUAAGCACCGGCUAACUACGUGCCAGCAGCCGCGGUAAUACGUAGGGUGCAAGCGUUAAUCGGAAUUACUGGGCGUAAAGCGUGCGCAGGCGGUCUUGCAAGACAGAUGUGAAAUCCCCGGGCUCAACCUGGGAACUGCAUUUGUGACUGCAAGGCUGGAGUACAGCAGAGGGGGAUGGAAUUCCGCGUGUAGCAGUGAAAUGCGUAGAUAUGCGGAGGAACACCGAUGGCGAAGGCAAUCCCCUGGGCCUGUACUGACGCUCAUGCACGAAAGCGUGGGGAGCAAACAGGAUUAGAUACCCUGGUAGUCCACGCCCUAAACGAUGUCAACUGGUUGUUGGGAAGGUUCCUUCUCAGUAACGUAGCUAACGCGUGAAGUUGACCGCCUGGGGAGUACGGCCGCAAGGUUG